Molecule: ribosomal RNA, 256 nt
Filed under: uncultured bacterium
Lineage: Bacteria
Description: partial 16S ribosomal RNA
Rfam family: Bacterial small subunit ribosomal RNA
Source: RNAcentral
UACGGGGGAGCAAGCGUUGUUCGGAUUUACUGGGCGUAAAGGGCGCGUAGGCGGCCACCGCAAGUCGACUGUGAAAUCUCCGGGCUUAACCCGGAAAGGUCAGCCGAUACUGCGGGGCUAGAGUGCAGAAGGGGCAACUGGAAUUCUCGGUGGUAGCGGUGAAAUGCGUAGAUAUCGAGAGGAACACCUGCGGCGAAGGCGGGUUGCUGGGCUGAACACGUGACGUGAUGCGCGAAAGCUAGGGGAGCGAACGGGG